Molecule: ribosomal RNA, 1443 nt
Filed under: uncultured marine eukaryote
Lineage: Eukaryota
Description: bacterial SSU rRNA
Rfam family: Bacterial small subunit ribosomal RNA
Source: RNAcentral
GAGUUUGAUCCUGGCUCAGGAUGAACGCUGGCGGUAUGCUUAACACAUGCAAGUCGAACGAAGAUUUUUACCUUUGGUGGCGAGGGGCUGCGCAUUACGUGAUAUGCCCCCCUUAGGAGAAUAAUAUUUGCAGAAAACGGCUGCUUCCCCUUAUUAUGAGAAGAGGAGAAAUUUUUUUAACUGCGAAGAGAUCACCUCUGACCUGAUUGUCUGUAAGGUAAGGUAAUGGCUUACCAAGGCCAUGAUCAGUAGCUGGUUUGAGAGAACGAUCAGCCACACUGGGACUGAGACACGGCCCAGACUCCUCCGGGAGGCAGCAGUGAGGAAUUUUCCGCAAUGGGCGAAAGCCUGACGGAGCAAUACCGCAUGAGGGAUGAAGGAUUUUGGUCUGUAAACCUCUUUUCUCAAGAAAGAAGUUCUGACGGUACUUGAGGAAUAAGCAUCGGCUAACUCCGUGCCAGCAGCCGCGGUAAUACGGGGGAUGCAAGCGUUAUCCGGAAUCAUUGGGCGUAAAGCGCCUGUAGGUGGUUUAAUAAGUCUGUUGUUAAAGAUUAGGGCUCAACCCUAGAAAAGCAAUGGAAACUAUUAGGCUAGAGUAUGGCAGGGGUAGAGGGAAUUUCUAGUGUAGCGGUGAAAUGCGUAGAUAUUAGAAAGAACACCAGUGGCGAAAGCGCUCUACUGGACCAUUACUGACACUCAGAGACGAAAGCUAGGGAGCAAAAGGGAUUAGAUACCCCUGUAGUCCUAGCCGUAAACGAUGGAUACUAGAUGAGAUAUUUAUUUUACAGUACAGUAUCUAAGGCGUUAAGUAUAAGUAUCUGGGGAGUACGCUCGCAAGGGUGAAACUCAAAGGAAAGGAAUGGACCCGCACAAGCACAAGCAGCAUGUGCAUUAAUUUUAAGCAACGCGAAGAACCUUAACAGGGCUUGACAUUGACAGAAUCUUUUUGAAAGAAGAGAGGACGUUUGGGAAUGCAGAUACAGAUGCAGCAUGGCCAUGGUCAGCGUCAGUCGUGAGAUGGAGAGUUAAGUCUAACAACGAGCGCAACCGCAACCUUUAGUUUCCAACUUGUUGGGUUUUUUAGAAAGACUGCCGGGGACAAACCGGAGGAAGGUGAGGAAGACGUCAAGUCAGCAUGCCCCCUAUGUCCUGGGGUACACACGUGGUACAAAGGUUAGGACAAAGAGUUGGGAGUUCGCGAGGACCAGCUAAUCUCAUAAACCUAGCCUAAGUUCAGAUUGUAGGCUGCAACUCGCCUACAUGAAGUUGGAAUCGCUAGUAAUCCCUGGUCAGCCAUACAGCGGUGAAUCCGUUCCCGGGCCUUGUACACACCGCCCGUCACCCCAUGGGAGAUGGUCAUACCCGAAACCGUUAGCUAACCCAUUCGGAGGGGGGCGUCUAAGGUAGGAUUAGUGACUGGGGUGAAGUCGUAACAAGGUAACC